RNAcentral lists this unclassified non-coding RNA (304 nucleotides) under uncultured fungus. Its description in RNAcentral is "sequence contains ITS1". The stretch from base 1 to 105 matches the Rfam family "5.8S ribosomal RNA", at positions 50 to 154 of the family's 154-position model. Lineage: Eukaryota; Fungi. The record is from RNAcentral.
GAAAUGCGAUAAGUAUUGUGAAUUGCAGAAUUCCGUGAAUCAUCGAAUCUUUGAACGCACAUUGCGCCCCCUGGUAUUCCGGGGGGCAUGCCUGUUCGAGCGUCAUAUACACCCUCAAGCCUAGCUUGGUAUUGGGCGGUUGUGCCUGCCAUUUGCGCAGACACACGCCUUAAAGACAGUGGCAGCCUGGGUUUGCCCGCCUUUGCACAGCACAGUUGUAGCCGAGGGGGGAGGGCUCAGGCGCUCCAGAAGCUUUUUACUCUUGUUUGACCUCGGAUCAGGUAGGAAUACCCGCUGAACUUAA